This 1478-nucleotide long non-coding RNA is filed under the name Mus musculus (house mouse). RNAcentral describes it as "RIKEN 4930412L05 isoform 9". The record is from RNAcentral. Lineage: Eukaryota; Metazoa; Chordata; Mammalia; Rodentia; Muridae.
AGGCUGACUCCGGAGCUAGAGAGGAGCACAUUCGAGCGAGAAGCUACGUGGGUGCAAACAACACUCCAGUUUCUGCCCGGGAGGAGCCGGAUCUAACAACUAGGAGUUCAAGCCCCUACCUACCGACCGACCUGUGGUCUCUGAAGUUGGACAAUGCUCCCCAACAGGUGCAAACAGAAUACCUGUUUGACCGGGCUUUGUCUCUAGGAAACUACAUACGAGGUGAUGGAAAUGCUAUUAAGAGUGAUGUGAAUUAACACAGAGACCUACAAUUGAUUUUUUUUUCAGGGUGGAACAAAAAGGUUCUAGGAGCUGGAACAUCUGUCACCUUCAUAGACCGUGCCAAAGCUUCUCAUAAAUGGAGUCUUGCCUUUGAUCUCAUUUUCCUCUGUAAGAAUUAAAGUGAUGUGUGGCCCUUGAGGCUGAAGGCGGGGCAAGCCGAUGGCAAUGGCUUUCUCCAGCACUGUCUUUUCUAUGAGAGUCACUGUGAGGAUCCAGACAAGGCACAGAAGAGAGUUUUGGGAAUCGCCAGAGCUCUGCAAAGAAUUGAGAGGUGUCAGCACUGACCUUGUGAUCUCCACCAAUCAACUGUUCUAAAGUUCAGUUUUAGCAAAAAAACUAGACAGGACUCAAGGUUUGCAGCAGUAUGGAGGCUGGCAGGAUUGCCCAAGCAGAAGGCUGAGGCCACAAGAGGAACAAUCUGUUGGAGCAAGGCUUUGGAGCACUUGUUCGUGAAGGGUGUAAUAAUAAGUGCCGUGGUGUGGGAACUUAAACAAAUAAGAAUCUCCUUCCUCAAAGUUUGAGAGGCCCAAGAUUCAAGAUGGACAUGUCCACAGGAUGGGCGUCCUUCACUCCUGGUUUGCAAACAGUCACCCCCUGUCUGUGUCUACAUAAGCUCUUACCAUGUGUGUUUCUUCCUGGUGCCUCUCAGAGUCGAUGUUGCUUUUUUUCAUAAGAGUACCAAUUAAGGAUGACUUAGGGACCCUAAAUAGACCCAUUUUAACUACAUUAUCUUUUCACUGUUAUUUUCUUGGUUUCCUAAGGAUCAGACAAGGGGCCUUACGUAUGAUAGGUGAGUGCUCUACCAGUGAGCUACACACCCAGCACCCUUAAUAACAGCUUUAAAGAGCAGCCCUCCAAUGCAAAUACCUUCUUAAGUACUAGCAAUUGGGGCUCUAAUAUGAAUUUAGAAACAUGCAUUUAGAAGAAAGGGGCACAAAACAGCCCUUAUUCAAGGACACUUGAGCACUUGGUGGCUUCAUGGCACCUCUCUAUACACUCUCAGUGCCACCUCUAGACCCCACUUAACAUGAGGAAGAUGCCUCCCUUGCAUUAAGCUUUGUGUCCAGGCACUUCUCAUCCAUGCAGGUAGCCGCAUUCCCUAACUGAUACGUAGCAUCUCACUUCAGCUGUUCUUGUUCACCUCUUUUGAAUCUUGUAUGGAGUGGAGUUCCCUCUUCAAUUAAAAGAAAUUAUUC